GAGAGUAUAGCUCAAGUGGUAGAGCACAUGCUUAGCAUGCAUGAGGUCCUGGGUUCAAUCCCCACUACCUCCU
This 73-nucleotide transfer RNA is filed under the name Camelus bactrianus (Bactrian camel). It matches the Rfam family "tRNA". Rfam says of the family: Transfer RNA (tRNA) molecules are approximately 80 nucleotides in length. Their secondary structure includes four short double-helical elements and three loops (D, anti-codon, and T loops). The record is from Rfam by way of RNAcentral. RNAcentral also lists the same sequence under 3 other names. Lineage: Eukaryota; Metazoa; Chordata; Mammalia; Artiodactyla; Camelidae.